CCUACGGGAGGCAGCAGUAGGGAAUCUUCCACAAUGGACGAAAGUCUGAUGGAGCAACGCCGCGUGAGUGAAGAAGGUUUUCGGCUCGUAACGCUCUGUUGGUAGUGAAGAAAGAUAGAGGUAGUAACUGUCCUUUAUUUGACGGUACUUUCUUAGACAGUCACGGCUAACUACGUGCCAGCAGCCGCGGUAAUACGUAGGUGGCAAGCGUUGUCCGGAUUUAUUGGGCGUAAAGCGAGUGCAGGCGGUUUAAUAAGUCUGAUGUGAAAGCCUCGGCUCAACCGGAGAAUUGCAUCAGAAACUGUUGAACUUGAGUGCAGAAGAGGAGAGUGGAACUCCAUGUGUAGCGGUGGAAUGCGUAGAUAUAUGGAAGAACACCAGUGGCGAAGGCGACUCGCUGGGCUGCAACUGACGCUGAGGCUCGAAAGCAUGGGUAGCGAACAGGAUUAGAUACCCCUGUAGUC
Molecule: ribosomal RNA, 464 nt
Filed under: uncultured bacterium
Lineage: Bacteria
Description: partial 16S ribosomal RNA
Rfam family: Bacterial small subunit ribosomal RNA
Source: RNAcentral